This 2322-nucleotide long non-coding RNA is filed under the name Piliocolobus tephrosceles (Ugandan red Colobus). Its description in RNAcentral is "lncRNA (ENSPTEG00000007202.1)". The record is from RNAcentral. Lineage: Eukaryota; Metazoa; Chordata; Mammalia; Primates; Cercopithecidae.
AUAAAAAAUAUAGAAAAUUUAAAAAACGUUUCAAUCGAAAUAGCAAUAUAUUUAUUUAACAUAGAAAUUAAUAAAAUUCAUAAGAUAACAGAAUGUAAAAAAUGGAAAACAGUGCCAUAUAUGUAUCAAAAAUUAGCAGAUGAAAUGUUAAUAAAAAAAAAAGAAUAUAUAAAUCAAAUACAAAAAAAAAUGAUUUCUAAUUAUAAUUUAAUAAACUACAAAACAGCUGAUGGUAUAAUCAAAAGAAAUAACACAGAAAAUGAUACAUUAUCUCAUACACAUACGACUAAUAAUAAGGGAUACAUAAAAAAUAACCAUUUAAAACAUACAACCAUGCUUCAAAAACAGUGCCGUUUGUUUUCGCUAGGGUUAAAUAAUAAUAAUGACCAAAAUUGUAUAAGUAAAAACAAUAAUAACAAUACAAAAAGGAACAGCAUAUCAUUUCACAAUGCGGGUAAUACUAUUAUAAAUACAGGUUGUCAAAAUGAAAAAGCGAAUAGGUUUGUAAAAGAAGCAUCUGCUACAGAAACAUCUGCUACAGGAACAUCUGUAACUGAAACACCUGCAACUGAAACACCUGUAACCGAAACACCUGCAACUGAAACACCUGUAACCGAAACACCUGCAACUGAAACACCUGUAACUGAAACACCUGCAACUGAAACACCUGCAACUGAAACACCUGUAACCGAAACACCUGUAACCGAAACACCUGCUACACUAAAUUUCAACAAAACCAAACAAACAAAUUUAAAUAGUACGAAACGUGAUGCGCCAAUUAGAGACUUAAAGACUAACCAAAAUAAAAGUCAUAAAAUAGAAAACUACAAUGGUUGUUUUUAUGCUUACAAUAAUAGUGAUAAUGGUAAAAAUAAUAAUAAAGGAUUGUAUUUUUACAAUGACAGUUAUUGUGAUGAUGGAGAUAAUAAUAGUAACUGCGUCCAUGUGGAAGACCAGUCAAAUCAUAAAUCUAUAUUUAAAAAUGAAGAGAAAAAACAAUAUAAUAAAUCAAAUGAUACAUACUCUUUUGUUUUAAAUAAAAAUAAAAUAAAAGAAAAUGGAAAGAAAACUAGUAAACUAAUAAAUAAUGACAUAAAUGCCGAUAUAGGUGAUGGUUUAAAUGGAGAAUUACAAAAAGAAUUAAAAAAAAUGAUAACCGAAUCAAAUAUAAUAGAAAAAAAAAUGGCCAAACUAAAAAAAAAUAAAAAAAGCAAUGUUAUUCUAAAUGAUAAACAAAGAAGAGUUCACAAUUAUAUUAGUAGUCAUGCCAGUAACACUAAAAGAAGAAUGGCAAAUAGAUGCAGUGCUAUUAAGCAUGUAUUAAAUGAAUUAACGGAUGAUAAGCAUGGUAAAAGUGAUAAUGAUAGUAAUGGUAGCAACCGUGGUGGUAGCAAUAUCCGUAAUAUCAGAAAGCAAAGAUACAGUGAAAUAUUAUAUCCAUGUGAAUACAGAAAUAAGUUAAACGCAGAACACAAAAAAAACAUGUUUAACUUCGAAAGACACACUGUUUCUUCUUUUAUUAAAAACAUGAGCAUUCAAAAAGUAAUAAAAGAAAGAGAAAAAAAAAACGAUAACUAUAAAAACAAAAUGAAUGGCGAUUGUAAAAGCAAAAUGAAUGGCGAUUGUAAAAGCAAAAUGAAUGGCGAUUGUAAAAGCAAAAUGAAUGGCGAUUAUAAAAACCAAAAAAAUAAUGAAAAAAAUUAUAUACAAAAAAAUAGAAGGUCAUUAUCAUCAUUUGACAAUCAAACUGGUGACAAAUUACAAAAAUUACUUUUACUAAAUCAGUAUACCUUAAAAAAAAACAGUAAAUUAGAAAAUAAAUCAAACCAAUCUACCCGAUCUUAUACACAAGAGAGGCCAUGGUCAUACAUGCGAAACGGAGAUGUAAUUAAUUACAACAAACUAAACAAACUAAACAAACUAAACAAACUAAACAAACUAAACAAACCAAACAAACCAAACAAACCAAACAAACUAAACAAACCAAACAAACUAAACAAACCAAACAAACUUGAGUCUGAGUUUGAGCCUGAGCCUGAGCCUGAGUCUGAGCCUGAGUCUGAACCUGAGUCUGAGUCUGAAUCUGAAUCUGAGUCUGUCACAAAUGAAAAUGAUUGUGAUACUCCAUUACACGUUAAUAAAUGUUUAAUGCAAAACAAUAUUAUUUCUGAUAGUACAUCACCAUCUUUAAAAAACUCAUGGGCAUAUAAUUUAAGAAAUUUUAGUAAUAGUAGUAAUGUGAAGAAAAACGUUUUAAAUAAAAAUUAUCAAAAUCAAAAUUAUCAAAAUCAAAAUUAUCAAAAUAAAAAACAAAAAUCGAGU